RNAcentral lists this long non-coding RNA (7527 nucleotides) under Triticum aestivum (bread wheat). Its description in RNAcentral is "long non-coding RNA (TAES_LNC015644)". The record is from RNAcentral. Lineage: Eukaryota; Viridiplantae; Streptophyta; Magnoliopsida; Poales; Poaceae.
CUAACUCAUUAGUUAUAUGCUUGCAAGGCUUAAGUGAUGAGUAUUACCGAGAGGGCCCAGAGAUACCUCUUCGACAAUCGGAGUGACAAAUCCUAAUCUUGAAUUAUGCCAACUCAACAUGAACCUUCGGAAACACCUGUAGAGCACCUUUAUAAUCACCCAGUUACGUUGUGACGUUUGGUAGCACACAAAGUGUUCUUCCGGUACACGGGAGUUGCACAAUCUCAUAGUUGCAGGAACUUUGUAUAAGUCAUGAAGAAAGCAAUAGCAGUAUAGUAAACGAUCAAGUGCUAGGCUAACAAAAUGGGUCAUGUCAAUCACAUCAUUCUUCUAAUGAUGUGAUCCCACUAAUCAAAUGAAAACACAUGUCUAUGGUCAGGAAACAUGACCAUCUUUGAUUAAUGAGCUAGUCAAGUAGAGGCAUACUAGUGACUAUAUGUUUGUCUAUGUAUUCACACAUGUAUCAUGUUUCCGGUUAAUACAAUUCUAGCAUGAAUAAUAAACAUUUAUCAUGAUAUGAGGAAAUAAAUAAUAACUUUAUUAUUGCCUCUAGGGCAUAUUUCCUUCAGUCUCCCACUUGCACUAGAGUCAAUAAUCUAGAUUACAUAGUAAUGAUUCUAACACCCAUGGAGUCUUGGUGCUGAUCAUGUUUUGCUCGUGAGAGAGGCUUAGUCAACGGGUCUGCAACAUUCAGAUCCGUAUGUAUCUUGCAAAUCUCUAUGUCUCCCACUUGGACUUGGUCCCGAAUGGAAUUGAAGCGUCUCUUGAUGUGCUUGGUCCUCUUGUGAAAUCUGGAUUCCUUUGCCAAGGCAAUUGCACCAGUAUUGUCACAGAAGAUCUUCAUUGGUCCCGAUGCACUAGGUAUGACACCUAGAUCGGAAAUGAACUCCUUCAUCCAGACUCCUUCAUUUGCUGCUUCAGAAGCAGCUAUGUACUCCGCUUCACAUGUAGAUCCCGCCACGACGCUUUGUUUUAGAACUGCACCAACUUACAGCUCCACCGUUUAAUAAAAAUACGUAUCCGGUUUGCGAUUUAGAAUCGUCCGGAUCAGUGUCAAAGCUUGCAUCGACGUAACCAUUUACGACUAGCUCUUUGUCACCUCCAUAUACGAGAAACAUAUCCUUAGUCCUUUUCAGGUAUUUCAGGAUGUUCUUGACCGCUGUCCAGUGAUCCACUCUUGGAUUACUUUGGUACCUUCCUGCUAAGCUUAUUGCUAAGCAUACGUCAGGUCUGGUACACAGCAUUGCAUACAUGAUAGAGCCUAUGGCUGAAGCAUAGGGAAUAUUUUUCAUUUUCUCUCUAUCUUCUGCAGUGGUCGGGCAUUGAGUUCGACUCAAUUUCACACCUUGUAGCACAGGCAAGAAUCCUUUCUUUGCCUGAUCCAUAUUGAACUUUUUAAAUAUUUUGUCAAGGUAUGUGCUUUGUGAAAGUCCUAUUAAGCAUCUUGAUCUAUCUCUAUAGAUCUUGAUGCCUAAUAUGUAAGCAGCUUCUCCGAGGUCUUUCAUCGAAAAACUUUUAUUCAAGUAUCCCUUUAUGCUAUCCAGAAAUUCUAUAUCAUUUCCAAUUAAUAAUAUGUCAUCAACAUAUAAAACUAGAAAUGCUACAGAGCUCCCACUCACUUUCUUGUAAAUACAGGCUUCUCCAAAAGUCUGUAUAAAACCAUAUGCUUUGAUCACACUAACAAAACGUUUAUUCCAACUCCGAGAUGCUUGCACCAGUCCAUAAAUGGAACGUUGGAGCUUGCACAUUUUGUCAGCACCUUUUGGAUCAACAAAACCUUCCGGCUGCAUCAUAUACAACUCUUCUUCUAGAAAUCCAUUCAAGAAUGCAGUCUUGACAUCCAUUUGCCAAAUUUCAUAAUCAUGAAAUGCAGCAAUAGCCAACAUGAUUCGGACAGACUUAAGCAUCGCUACGGGUGAGAAAGUCUCAUCGUAGUCAACCCCUUGAACUUGUCGAAAACCUUUCACAACAAGUUGAGCUUUAUAGACGGUUACAUUACCAUCAGCGUCAGUCUUCUUCUUAAAGUUCCAUUUAUUCUCAAUGGCUUGCCGAUCAUCGGGCAAGUCAACCAAAGUCCAUACUUUGUUUUCAUACAUGGAUCCUAUCUUAGAUUUCAUGGCCUCCAGCCAUUUUGCGGAAUCUGGGCUCAUCAUCGCUUCCUCAUAGUUCGUAGGUUCAUCAUGGUCAAGUAACAUGACUUCCAGAACAGGAUUACCGUACCACUCUGGUGCGGAUCUUACUCUGGUAGACCUAAGAGGUUCAGCAGAAACUUGAUCUGAAGUUUCAUGAUCAAUAUCAUUAGCUUCCUCACUAGUUGGUGUAGUUGUCACGGGAACCGGUUCUCGUGAUGAACUACCUUCCAACAAGGGAGUAGAUACAGUUAUCUCAUCAAGUUCUACUUUCCUCCCACUCACUUCUUUCGAGAGAAAUUCUUUCUCUAGAAAGGAUCCAUUCUUAGCAACAAAUGUUUUGCCUUCGGAUCUGUGAUAGAAGGUGUACCCAACAGUUUCCUUUGGGUAUCCUAUGAAGACACAUUUCUCCGAUUUAGGUUCGAGCUUAUCUGGUUGAAGUUUCUUCACAUAAGCAUCGCAGCCCCAAACUUUAAGAAACGACAACUUUGGUUUCUUGCCAAACCAUAGUUCAUAAAGCGUCGUCUCAACGGAUUUUGACGGUGCCCUAUUUAACGUGAAUGCAGCCGUCUCUAAAGCAUAACCCCAAAACGAUAGCGGUAAAUCGGUAAGAGACAUCAUAGAUCGCACCAUAUCAAGUAAAGUACGAUUACGACGUUCGGACACACCAUUUUGUUGUGGUGUUCCAGGUGGCGUGAGUUGCGAAACUAUUCCGCAUUGUUUCAAAUGUAAACCAAACUCGUAACUCAAAUAUUCUCCUCCACGAUCAGAUCGUAGAAAUUUUAUUUUCUUGUUACGAUGAUUUUCUACUUCACUCUGAAAUUCUUUGAACUUUUCAAAUGUUUCAGACUUGUGCUUCAUUAAGUAGAUAUACCCAUAUCUGCUCAAAUCAUCUGUGAAGGUGAGAAAAUAACGAUAUCCGCCACGAGCCUCAACAUUCAUCGGGCCACAUACAUCUGUAUGUAUGAUUUCCAACAAAUCUGUUGCUCUCUCCAUAGUACCGGAGAACGGCGUUUUAGUCAUCUUGCCCAUGAGGCACGGUUCGCAAGUACCAAGUGAUUCAUAAUCAAGUGAUUCCAGAAGUCCAUCAGUAUGGAGUUUCUUCAUGCGUUUUACACCGAUAUGACCUAAACGGCAGUGCCACAAAUAAGUUGCACUAUCAUUAUCAACUCUGCAUCUUUUGGCUUCAACAUUAUGAAUAUGUGUAUCACUACUAUCGAGAUUCAAUAAAAACAGACCACUCUUCAAGGGUGCAUGACCAUAAAAGAUAUUACUCAUAUAAAUAGAACAACCAUUAUUCUCUGAUUUAAAUGAAUAACUGUCUCGCAUCAAACAAGAUCCAGAUAUAAUGUUCAUGCUCAACGCAGGCACCAAAUAACAAUUAUUUAGGUCUAAAACUAAUCCCGAUGGUAGAUGUAGAGGUAGCGUGCCGACGGCGAUCACAUCGACUUUGGAACCGUUUCCCACACACAUCGUCACCUCGUCCUUGGCCAGUGCUCGCUUAUUCCGUAAUCCCUGUUUCGAGUUGCAAAUAUUAGCAACAGAACCAGUAUCAAAUACCCAGGUGCUACUACGAGCUCUAGUUAGGUACACAUCAAUAACAUGGAUAUCACAUAUACCUUUGUUCACUUUGCCAUCCUUCUUAUCCGCCAAAUACUUGGGGCAGUUCCGCUUCCAGUGACCAGUCUGCUUGCAGUAGAAGCACUCAGUUUCAGGCUUAGGUCCAGACUUGGGUUUCUUCUCUUGAGAAGAAACUUGCUUGCCGUUCUUUUUGAAGUUUCCCUUCUUCUUCCCUUUGCCCUUCUUCUUGAAACUAGUGGUCUUGUUGACCAUCAACACUUGAUGCUCCUUCUUGAUUUCUACCUCCGCGGCUUUCAGCAUCGCGAAGAGCUCGGGAAUAGUCUUGUUCAUCCCUUGCAUAUUAUAGUUCAUCACAAAACUCUUGUAGCUUGGUGGCAGUGAUUGGAGAAUUCUGUCAAUGACGCUAUCAUUCGGAAGAUUAACUCCCAGUUGAAUCAAGUGAUUAUUAUACCCAGACAUUUUGAGUAUAUGCUCACUGACAUAACUGUUCUCCUCCAUCUUGCAGCUGUAGAACUUAUUGGAGACUUCAUAUCUCUCAAUCCGGGCAUUUGCUUGAAAUAUUAACUUCAACUCCUGGAACAUCUCAUAUGCUCCAUGACGUUCAAAACGUCGUUGAAGACCCGGUUCUAAGCCGUAAAGCAUGUCACACUGAACUAUAGAGUAGUCAUCAGCUUUGCUCUGCCAGACGUUCUUAACGUCGUCAGUUGCAUCAGCAGCAGGCCUGGCACCCAGCGGUGCUUCCAGGACGUAACUCUUCUGUGCAGCAAUGAGGAUAAUCCUCAGGUUACGGACCCAGUCCGUGUAAUUGCUACCAUCAUCUUUCAACUUUGCUUUCUCAAGGAACGCAUUAAAAUUCAACGGAACAACAGCACGAGCCAUCUAUCUACAAACAAACAUAGACAAGCAAAAUACUAUCAGUUAAUCAUAUUACUAAAGAACUCCCACUUAGACAUCUAAGUGAUCACGUGAUCCAAAUCAACUAAACCAUAACCGAUCAUCACGUGAGAUGGAGUAGUUUUCAAUGGUGAACAUCAUCAUGUUGAUCAUAUCUACUAUAUGAUUCACGCUCGACCUUUCGGUCUCCGUGUUCCGAGGCCAUAUAUGUAUAUGCUAGGCUCGUCAAGUUUAACCUGAGUAUUCUGCGUGUGCAAAACUGGCUUGCACCCGUUGUAGAUGGACGUAGAGCUUAUCACACCCGAUCAUCACGUGGUGUCUCGGCACGACGAACUUUGGCAACGGUGCAUACUCAGGGAGAACACUACUUGAUAAUUUUAGUGAGAGAUCAUCUUAAAAUGCUACCGUCAAUCAAAGCAAGAUAAGAUGCAUAAAGGAUAAACAUCACAUGCAAUCAAUAUAAGUGAUAUGAUAUGGCCAUCAUCUUGUGCUUGUGAUCUCCAUCUCCGAAGCACCGUUGUGAUCACCAUCGUCACCGGCGCGACACCUUGAUCUCCAUCGUAGCAUCGUUGUCGUUUACGCCAUCUAUUGCUUCUACGACUAUCGCUACCGCUUAGUGAUAAUGUAAAGCAAUUACAGGGCGUUUGCAUUUCAUACAAUAAAGCGACAACCAUAUGGCUCCUGCCAGUUGCCGAUAACUUCGGUUACAAAACAUGAUCAUCUCAUACAAUAAAAUAUAGCAUCACGUCUUGACCAUAUCACAUCACAACAUGCCCUGCAAAAACAAGUUAGACGUCCUCUACUUUGUUGUUACAAAUUUUACGUGGCUGCUACGGGCUUAAGCAAGAACCAAUUUCACCUACGCAUCAAAACCACAACGAUAGUUUGUCAAGUUGAUGCUGUUUUAACCUUCGCAAGGACCGGGCGUAGCCACACUCGGUUCAACUAAAGUUGGAGAAACAGACACCCGCUAGUCACCUGUGUGCAAAGCACGGCGGUAAAACCAGUCUCGCGUAAACGUACGCGUAAUGUCGAUCCGGGCCGCUUCAUCCAACAAUACCGCUGAACCAAAGUAUGACAUGCUGGUAAGCAGUAUGACUUAUAUCGCCCACAACUCACAUGUGUUCUACUCGUGCAAAUAACAUCAAACCAUAAAAACCUAGGCUCGGAUGCCACUGUUGGGGAACGUAGUAAUUUCAAAAAAAUUCCUACGCACACGCAAGAUCAUGGUGAUGAUAUAGCAACGAGGGGAGAGUGUUGCCUAUGUACCCUCGUAGACCGAAGCGGAAGCGUUGACGCAACGUAGAGGAAGUAGUCGUACGUCCUCCCGGCCGACCGAUCCAAGCACCAUUACUCCGGCACCUCCGAGUUCUUGACACACAUACAGCUCGAUGACGCACCCUCGAUCUCCAAUCCAGUAGAGGUUCCAAGGGGGAGUUUCGUCAGCACGACGGCGUGGUGACGAUCUUGAUGUUCUCCUGUCGCAGGGCUUCGCCUAAGCACCGCUACAAUAUGAUCGAGGUGUAAUAUCGUGGAGGGGGGCACCGCACACGGCUAAGGAACGAUCAAUGAUCAACUUGUGUGUUCUAGGGUGCCCCCCUACCCCCGUAUAUAAAGGAGGGAGGGAGGAGGUGGCCGGCCCAAGGGGGGGCGCGCCAUAGGGAGGGGGAAACCUACUCCAAGUAGGUUUCCCCCCUUUUUCCUAAUCUUAUUUGGAGGGGGAAGGAAGGAGUACUAGUAUUAGGAAGUAGUACUAGUAGUAGAAAUAGGAAGAGGGGGAAGGAGAAAGGAAAGGGGGGCCGGCCCCCCUCCCCAAUUCGGAUUGGGCUUGGGGGGGGGGGCGCCCCCCUCCCUUGCUCCUUCUUCCUUCCUCCUACAUGGGCCCAAUAAGGCCCAUAUACCUCCCGGGGGGUUCCGGUAACCUCCCGGAGCUCCAAACUUCUCCGGAACCUUUCCGGUGUCCAAAUAUAUCCGUCCAAUAUAUCAAUCUUUAUGUCUCGACCAUUUUGAGACUCCUCGUCAUGUCCGUGAUCAUAUCCGGGACUCCGAACAAACUUCGGUACAUCAAAAUACAUAAACUCAUAAUAUAAUUGUCAUCGAAACAUUAAGCGUGCGGACCCUACGGUUCGAGAACAAUGUAGACAUGACCGAGACACGUCUCUGGUCAAUAACCAAUAGCGGGACCUGGAUGCCCAUAUUUGUUCCUACAUAUUCUACGAAGAUCUUUAUCGGUCAAACCGCAUAACAACAUACUUUGUUCCCUUUGUCAUCGGUAUGUUUACUUGCCCGAGAUUUGAUCGUCGGUAUCCAAUACCUAGUUCAAUCUCGUUAUUGGCAAGUCUCUUUACUCAUUCUGUAAUACGUCAUCUCAUGACUAACUCAUUAGUUAUAUGCUUGCAAGGCUUAAGUGAUGAGUAUUACCGAGAGGGCCCAGAGAUACCUCUCCGACAAUCGGAGUGACAAAUCCUAAUCUCGAAUUAUGCCAACUCAACAUGAACCUUCGGAAACACCUGUAGAGCACCUUUAUAAUCACCCAGUUACGUUGUGACGUUUGGUAGCACACAAAGUGUUCUUCCGGUACACGGGAGUUGCACAAUCUCAUAGUUGCAGGAACUUUGUAUAAGUCAUGAAGAAAGCAAUAGCAGUAUACUAAACGAUCAAGUGCUAGGCUAACAAAAUGGGUCAUGUCAAUCACAUCAUUCUUCUAAUGAUGUGAUCCCACUAAUCAAAUGACAACACAUGUCUAUGGUCAGGAAACAUGACCAUCUUUGAUUAAUGAGCUAGUCAAGUAGAGGCAUACUAGUGACUAUAUGUUUGUCUAUGUAUUCACACAUGUAUCAUGUUUCCGGUUAAUACAAUUCUAGCAUGAAUAAUAAACAUUUAUCAUGAUAUGAGGAAAUAAAUAAUAACUUUAUUAUUGCCU